RNAcentral lists this ribosomal RNA (253 nucleotides) under uncultured bacterium. Its description in RNAcentral is "partial 16S ribosomal RNA". It matches the Rfam family "Bacterial small subunit ribosomal RNA", at positions 524 to 776 of the family's 1533-position model. The record is from RNAcentral.
UACGUAGGGUGCAAGCGUUGUCCGGAAUUACUGGGCGUAAAGAGCUCGUAGGUGGUUUGUCGCGUUGUUCGUGAAAACCUGAGGCUCAACCUUGGGCGUGCGGGCGAUACGGGCAGACUGGAGUACUGCAGGGGAGACUGGAAUUCCUGGUGUAGCGGUGGAAUGCGCAGAUAUCAGGAGGAACACCGGUGGCGAAGGCGGGUCUCUGGGCAGUAACUGACGCUGAGGAGCGAAAGCGUGGGGAGCGAACAGG